GGUGGCGUGGAGGGGCAGAGCGGCCGCUGCAAGAUCGUGGUGGUGGGAGAUGCGGAGUGCGGCAAGACGGCGCUGCUGCAGGUGUUCGCCAAGGACGCCUUUCCCGGGAGUUAUGUCCCCACCGUGCUUGAGAACUACACCGAGAGCUUUGAGAUCGACAAGUGCCGCAUUGAGCGCAACAUGUGGGACACUUCAGGUUCCUCUUACUAUGAUAAUGUCCGGCCUCUGGCCUAUCCUGAUUCUGACGCUGUGCUCAUCUGCUUCGACAUUAGCCGACCAGAAACACUGGACAGUGUUCUCAGGAAGUGGCAAGGAGAGACUCAAGAGUUUUGCCCCAAUGCCAAGGUUGUGCUGGUUGGCUGUUAACUAGACAUGCGGACUGACCUGGGCACACUGAGGGAGCUGUCCAAGCAGAGGCUUAUCCCUGUCACACAUGAGCAGGGCACUGUGCUAGCCAAGCAGGUGGGGGCUGUGUCCUACGUGGAUGCUCCUCCCGGUCCUCUGAGCGCAGCGUCAGGGAUGUCUUCCAUGUGGCCACAGUGGCCUACCUUGGCCGUGGUCAUAGGCAGCUGCGCCGAACUGACUCACGCCAGGGAAUGCAGCGAUCCACUUAGCUGUCAGGACGGCUAGACCGAGAGAAUGAGGGCGACAUACAUAAGGAUCGAGCCAAGAGCUGCAACCUCAUGUGCCGGGCUAGGAGUGGGGCAGAGUGUGAAGCGGGUGGUGAGGGACACAAUUGUUUCCCUGCCUGCGUCCAGGCUUCCUGACCUCCUGAGCCUGUCUGGGAAGUCUGGGCAGGCAGAGCAAGCAAUUCUUCUGGCAGGGGAGCUGGAGGGCAGAAGGGUAUCAUUUCUCAUAUCCUCCUCCCUCCUCUUCUCCAGUGGAUGUUGAGGGAGCUAACAGGGCUGGCAUCGGGGCAUGAACUGGGAUGGGGCAGGUGGGAGUUAGGGAAGCUGGUAUCAAACAGUGACCUCAGUGGAGUCUCCUAGGUGAAGGGUACCCUCCCUCUCCACCCCCACCCUCCAUAUCCUGGUUCUUUCUGGCCCAAGGAAAAUGUCCAUUCUGUGACCUUCUCUUUUCCUCUCUCACUUGUGCAGCUGUUCUCACACAUCUUAACCUCUAGGCAACAUGCAAGGAGAAGCCCCUCCCCACAUCAGUCCACAAGCCUUAGAACCCCCCUUGCUCCAAUAGUCACCCAAUAAAGCCCAUGUCCAUGAAAAAAAAAGGACAAAAUGAGAAUUUGAAGGAAAUGUGAAAAUUAUAAAAUUGAAAAAUACAACUGACAAUUAAGAAUUCGAUGAAUGAGUUACAGCUGAAGAGAAAUUAAUAAGCUGGAAAAUCAGAAAAGACAUUCUGAUUAAAACACAACUUGAAAAGAAUGGAAAAUGUAAAGAGGGGGCAUAAGAGAAAUAUGAGAUGUGAUAUAAAGGCAUAAUAUAUAUUUAUUUAGAGCCAUGUAUGGAAAAAAAUAAAGGGAAUUAGGUACAAGCAAUAACUGAAGAGAAAGUGGCCAACACUGUUCCAAAAGUGACAAAUGACAUCAAGCAGUAAGCUUUAUGAAUCUUAAGAUAAACAAAAAUAAUAUCAGUAAUAACGACAUCAAAUAACUGCCUGGAAAUACCAUAAUAAAAUUUACAUAAGCAAAAGAAAACAAAAAGUCUAAUCUUCCUCUCUCCCCAACACUGUGGUAGGCUUGAAAAUCAUCAGCUUUGCAACUAUAGCAGCUGUAAAAACCAGUAGCCUCACUGGCAUGGAAGAGAACAGAUCUGGGAGACCCUCAAAAGCCCUGUCCCAGACAGUUGCUUCUGUUAACUCUUGUGGCAAUUCACUGUAAAACUCCAUUUUCAGAGCUUGUGUUUACCUUACCGGACUCCGAGCUGUGAAAAUAGUGUUAUCUCCAGUGAACAUGUCCCCAAAAAUCAAGAACAUCUGUUUAAAAACACAGCUGACUGAGAUAGCAUUAUGACUUGGGGCUAACAAGUGGCUGAUUACAAAAUCAAAAGGAAAACUUGAAAAUAAUAUGACCUGGAAAGAAAGAUAGUUUCACUUCCUAUUUGGAUGCUUUCUAUUUCUUUCAUUUGCCUGGUUACUGUGGGUUAGUACUAUGCUGAAUAGGAGUGGUGAGAGUGGUGAUAUUUGUCUUGUUCUGAUUCUUAAAGUGAAUGAUUCAAGCUUCCGUACAUUCAGUAUGAUACUGGCUGUGGGUUUGUCAUAGAUGGCUCUUUUCCUUUUGAGGUAUGUUCCUUAAAUGCCUAGAUUAUUGAGAGUUUUUAACAUGAAGUGAUGUUAAAUUUUAUUGAAAAAAUUUUGUAUGCCUAUUGAAAUGAUCAUGUGGUUUUUAUUUUUAGUUUCAUUUAUGUGAUGAAUUACAUUUAUUGAUUUGCGUAUGGUGAGCCAACCUUGCACCUCAGGAAUAAAGACUACUUGAUCAUGGUGGAUUAACUUUUUGAGUGCUGUUGAAUUCAGUGAGCUAGUAUUUUAUUGAGGAUUUUUAUAUCUUUGUUCAUCAGAGCUCUUGGCCUAAAGUUUUCUUUUUCUUGUUGUAUCUCUGAUAGGUUUUGGUAUUAGAAUGAUGCUGGCCUAAUAAAAUGAGUUAGGGAAGAGUCUCUCCUCAAAGUUUUGGAAGAGUUUCAAUAGGAUUAAUACAGUUCUCUGUAAGUCUGGGGGAAUUUGAUUAUGAAGCCAUCUGGUCCAGGUUUCUUUCUCAUUGGUAAGUUUUUUAUUACUCAUUCAGUUUCAGAACUUAUUGGUCUGUUCAGUUUCUUCCUGGUUCAUGCUUGGGAAGUUCUAUGUUUCCAGGAAUUUAUCCCUUUCUUUUGUAUUUUCUAGUUUAUGUGCAAAGAGGUGUUUGUAAUAAUCUCUGAGGGUUUUGGGUUUUUUUAAAAAUUUCUGUGGGUAUUUGUAAUGUCACCUUCAUCUGUUCUGAUUGUGUUGAUUGGGAUCUUCUCUCUUUUUAUUAGUCUAGCUAAUGGUCUAUCAGUCUUAUUUGUUCUUUCAAAUAACUAACUUCUAGUUUCAUUGAUCCUUUGCAUAGUUUGUUGCAUGUCAAUUUCAUUGAGUUCCGCUGUGAUUUUGUUUAUUUCUUUUCUCCUGCUAGCUUUGGGGUUGCUUUGGCUUUGUUUACCAGUUCCCUCUGAGUGUGAUGUUAGGUUGUUAAUUUGAGGUCUUUCUAACUUCAGUGUGGGUGCUUUAGUGGUAUAAACUUUACUCUUAUUACGGCUUAAGUUGAGUCCCAGAGAUUUGGUAGGUUGUAUCUUUGUUUACAUUAGUUUCAGAAAUUUUCUGGAUUUUUGCCUUAAUUUCAUUGUUUACUCAAAAGUCAUUUGGGAGCAGGUUACAUAAUUUCCAUGUCACGGUAUCAUUUGGUCAUAUGUUUUUAAUAUUAAUUUCUACUUUUACUGUGUUGUGGACUAAGAGUAUGCUUGGUAUGAUUUGGUUUUUGUUUUGAAUUUGUUGAGAAUUGUUUUAUGGCUGAGUAUGUGGCCUAUUUAGAGUGCAUGCUGUACACAGAUGAGAAGAAUGUAUAUCCUGUCGUUGCUGGAUGGAAUGUUCCCUAAAUGCCUGCUAGGUUCAUUUGGUCAAUUGUUGAGAUUAGAUCUCUAAUAUCUUUGUUACUUUUCUGCCUUGAUGAUCUGUCUCAUACUGUCAGUGGGUUGUUGAAGUCUUCUUUUGAUAUUAUGUGGUUAACUAAGUCUCUUCAUAGGUUUUUAAAUCUGAGUGCUCCAGAGUUGGGUGCAUAUAUAUUUAGGAUAGAUGAGCAUUCUUGUUGAAUUGAGCCUUUUAUCAUUAUGUAAUGCCUUUUUUUGAUCAUUGUUGACUUAAAGUCUUUUUCUUCUGAAAUAAAAAUAGCAAUCGCUGCUCUUUUUUAUUUUCCUAUGCUUAGUAGCUUUUUUCUUCAUACAUUUUCUAUAUUUUCUAGCUCAGAAGGCUGAGGCACAAGAAUCACUUGAACUCUGUGUGAUGGAAUGAGACUCUGUCUCAAAACAAACAAAAAAAUCUUCUGAUUGUAUUAUGAAAUUUUUGUGGUUUUUCAGCUCUAUCAGAUCAAUUUGGUACCCUCUUAAAAUUGUUAUUUCAUCUUUUAGCUGUUAGAUCAUUUUGUGGAUAACUUCAAUUCAUUAUAUUGAGUUUUUACUUUGUCCUGAAUCUCAAUGAUUUUUGUUACUAUCCAUAUUCUGAAUUCUGUCUGUUGUUUCUGUCAUUUCUAUUUGGCUAAGAACCAUCAAUGGGGAGGUAGUGUGAAUAUUUACAGGUAAGAAGACACUCUGGCUUUUUGAGUUGCCAGAGUUUUUGUACUGGUUCUUUAUCCUCUGUGUGGGCUGAGGUACCUUUAAUUUUUUAAGUUGUUGUUCUUUGGAUGGGGUUUUUUGCUUAUACAUUAUGUGAUAUCCUUGAGGGUUCAACUGUAGUAUGAGUUGGCUUUGGAUAAGUGACCUUGUUUAUGGUUAUUUCAGGGAUCCAAGGCUCAUGUCACCACUCCUGGGCUGCAUGCUCUAACCCUAGGGUCUGGUACCAGGCCUACAGCUUUGUUCUUUGGCCACUCAAGGUUAAGCACCUGCUGUGUUGGAGGGUCUGAGGUGUUCCUAGUCCACUGGAAGCAUUACUCUGAUGGGGUGUUCUGGCAAAAAAGUACUUCAUAGGAGUGGUGCCAGCAGGGUCUGCACUUAUGCAUGUGUGCUAGCAGCAGGGCAGUGACAUGGCAGGAUCUGUACAUGCCUACAAUGCCAGUGGCAGUAAUAUGGUUGAUUCUACACAUACACACCAGUGGCAGUGGGGUGGCAGGGACCAUGCAUGUGUGAGUGCUGGUGGCGGUGGUGCAGCGGGAUGCAUGCUCACUGGUGGGGGCAGGGUGAUGAUGUCUGUGCACGUGCACCUCUUUUUUUCAUCUGCAAUAGUUUCUCAGUAUUCCUUUGUCUUUCAUAAUAUUGUUCUGGCAAAAAUUUUAAUGGCACCCCUUUCACUCCCAAAAACUUUCUAGUUUGGACAAUAAAUAUCACCUUAUUAAUGUGUGAUUGGAGAUAAUGUUCCGUGAAUAUUCUUCAUGAUCAGAGUAUUUUGGGCAAGAGAGCACUGGCACUUGAAUUAAAGGAAGAUUGAAUAUAAUAAACAAUUGGCAUAAUAAUAUGAAUACAUGUUCUUUUAAGUAUUUGAAAGUUUUAAGACUGUAUAGGAGUCCUGAGACCAAUGUCUUUGAACCAGUACCACAAAGAAACAACAGAAACACAUUGUUUAAGAUUAUACCACUGUUUAAUGCAAUUUAGAUUGAUCCAUUUGUUCUUUUGGUGUUUUCUUCUUAUGUCUCAUACUUGGUGUUUUCCCCAAUAUCUAUUUUCAUUGUUUAGAUAAGAAGACGGCCUCCUUAAGCUCCCUGUGGUCUUCUAAUUUUGACAUUCCCUAGGUCAUUGCAUUACUCACUGUAUUUCAUAUUAUGUUUAUAUUUCUUUUUGUUCAAAAUCGUAUUAAGCCAGAAGCUACAUGUCAUGCUAUGCUGGCAAACCCAUUCUGGGGAAAAUUUUUUUAAGGCCCCAUUUAAAGUGUUUACUGCCGUCUUUAAGCUGCAAUCUAAGCUGCCAAUCUGAUAUAACUGUUGAUGGUGUUGGAGUUGGGAAAAGAUGUACACAGCCUACUGUCCUGAGUGGUAGUGGCCAGCUCCAACAUACCCUGGUCUAGGUCUAUAUUAAUGGCCAAUGAUAUGUGUUUUUUGAGAAAAGAUAAUUCUUUUUCCUGUUUUCAACUGGAAUUUACCUGUGGCGAUGAUAUUGAUAUCACUAACCAGAAACCAGAGUCAGUCUGUUUUCUGUUAUUGAAUCUCUAUCUAACAGUCACCCAUUUGGACCCUCAGUGUGUUACAAAGACAAAAGUGUAAAACAAAUCAAAUAUCCUUUGUUUUUGAAGCGUAAGUUCACAUUAUGCACUUUACAUUUUCAAUUUGGCUCUCUUCUGGAUAACAUAAUUUGCAAGGACUUCAAAGAUUAAUAGUUUGCCUUGCUAGUGCUCAGACUGUAGUUCUUGGAUGACAACUUCCAUAUCCCAUGAGAGCUUGGUAGAAAUGCAGACUCUUAGGCCUCACCCUAGAUUUAAUCCAAUCUGCAUUUUAACAAGAUCCCUAGGUGAUUCUUACGGAAACCAUGUUUGUGAGCACUGACCUUAGGGUAUUUGAGCUCUAAUUAUUUCAGCUCGCUGCCUUAUAAUUGGAAAAUUGUUGCCAUAUAAAUAUAGCCCUCAUAAGAUGUGCUAUGUUUAGCCAAAAUAUGUCAUGUUUUGGCUUGUUCCUUAGUUUGUCCUCAAUGUUAUUUUUCCAGUUAGUUGAAGUUGUCUCUUUCCAAAUACUGAAAUGUCGCGAUGUAUUUUCAGAAUUCAUUUCCUUUAAAACAAAUUUUCUAUUCUCUUUUGAAGCAUCAGAUUAAUCACUUUAGUUCCUAUUAGAUUUUUGUCUCCUUGAAAAUAUUGAUGUGUAAAUUCUUUGCUCUGUGGAAUGAUCAGUCAGAGUUAGUGCAUAUUUUUUCUUCCCUCUUGAUUUGGAGAUUCACUUUUAUAUGUUACUAAAUUAGUAAAGUGUUAAAAUGUGGUACCUUUGAUUUCUGUGAAUCAUUCCCAGCCCUUGGCUAUAAAGGCCAGCAUAAUUUACUAUCAUAUAGUUCAAGAGCUUGACAGAGAAAUUGGACUUUUUGGGGAAGAAGAAUGCAUAUAAAAUAUAUUAAUGAAUUUAUAGGAGUUUAAAUAAGUCCCUCUAAGGCAGUCAAUCUCACCCUGGCUUCACUUCAGAAUUAUUUGAGAAGAUUUUAAGAAGCCCUAGUACUGCUCUCUUCUCUGAGACACACUGGCUUAAUUGGUCCGGUGUUGUUUUCAUGUGUCUGUAUUUUUUUUAAAACUCUCAAAGUGAUGCAAACCGUGGAUUGAGAGUCACUGCUCUACCAAAGAGCAAAGCCAAAAAAUAAACAUGACUUGGUCAGGCACCCUGUAACAGGAGUCUCUUUCAUUAAGGGGUCUACUUAUCCUUGGUACUAGUAUAUAUAGUAAUUAAAGUUGUCAGCUGCGUCCAUCAGAUUUAGCUACAUCUCUGUAAGAAUUACUCGAGUGUUUGUUUUUAACCUGCUUUUAUGAAAACAGCAAAAAUACUGAAGAAAAUGAGGUUACACUAUGGAAUAAGUUAUAGAAAGUUUAGUAAAGAGCAAAUUAUAAGUUAAAUCUGCAUCCACAUUAAAAAGAAUGUAAGGGUGGAUGCGUAUGGCAAUUUCCUCAAACCUAUCCUCCAACAAGAGGCAGAAUACAAAUACAGCAUUUCCUCAAAUAAUGUUUGUGUCAACACUGCUUUCUCAUUAUAAUACUGACAAGAAAAAAAACCAUGUCAAAAGCACGUGUUGAAGCAGAGGAUCCACAUAACAAGACUAAGGCUGAGAGGGUCCUUUGGGAAAAUUCAGAAGAGUAGAUCUGUGUUGGGAAAGAAAGAAGCAACUGGGGAUGAUGGCUUAGUGCCUAACUAUCACAUCACUUCUUAUUUUUUUAAAAUAAAGAUGGGGUCUCACUUUGUUGCCCACGCUGGUUUCAAAUUCCUGGCCUCAAUUGCUCCUUCCACCUCUGCCACCCAAAGUACUGGGAUUAUAGGCAUGAGUCACCAUGCCCAGGCCCAACUAUCACUUCCUAAUCCAGACUUAGGUCUCCAGUAAGGACCUAAAAACAUUGAGCUAGUCAUGGAGGCAUGUGCUUAGACGAAUUAAGAAAGAGGUGAGUCUGCAGCACUGUCACAAGGGUGAGCAAAUACUGAGAGGGACUGCUGAGGAAAUGGUCUUCAUCAGUGACUCUCAGGUGAGACCAGGGGUCCUUGGGUUUCAGCACAGCCCGGGCAAUUGAAAUGCAGGGCUCCUGAAAAUCCAUGACACCCCCACAUUCUAAUUCCGUUAUUGCAACUGCAGACAGUUAACUGGCACAAUGGCUGCUAACCUCCCUCACUCUUGUAAAGUCUGAGCUACAGGCAGUGCCUUCGGCUCUGAGCUCAGGCAUGCUAAACUCUGUUUCGGCGAUUAAGUGCUGUGGGGUGUUGAUCAAGUUCUUCUUGACCAUAAGUCAACCAUUCCAGCUGUUGUUAUCCCUCAGUGCUGACUAAACCUAUUUGAUUUCACUUGUUUUUGACCCAUCACAUGUUUUGGUUUCUUCUCCCUAGUCCCUGUUAUGCCUCCUCCUGGAGCCCUCAGCUGAGAAAUACAGGGACCCCUGUCUUCAGGAGGAGGGAGGGUCACGUGAGAUAAUGAGCACCAUUUGGAUCCAUGAAGAGGACACCUGGAAGGAGACUGUGAUGAAUACCACCUCAACAUCCAGUCUCUGGAGAGAGACAUCUACAAAAUUGGAGAAGAAACAAUCUAUGAGGAAUUGAAAUUAAUUGAGCUCAGGCAAUAUAAAUCCCUGGCUAUUAGGCAGAGCAGCUGACAAAGUUACAGAAGGAGUUACAGGAAUGAAGAGAUGCCUCCUGCUCAGUGAAUAAAAAUUUCAAGACCCCCCCACUCCUGAUUACCCAGACAAGUCCCAGGGUCAGGACCUCCAAGAGCAGCUGGCUAAGGGGCUCAGGCUGGCAGAGCAUUAUGUCAGCAAGCUCAGCCCAGAAAAUGAUAAACAUCAUCAAGAUCAAACAGAUGAGGAGGGCAAGAAAGCAGAGAAAUCAGCUUCCCCCAGGUAACACUGAAUAAUCAGGAGUGGCUAAUGGGUGGUGAAAUCUGGAAAAGGUCUCAGAAAGAACAUAAGGUAGGUGAACAUAGUCACAGAUUCCAGAUGCAGGAUACGGACAGCUGCAGAGUGCACUGACUUCAUGCACUCACCAACAAGGAAAUCGUGCUGUUAACAUGCUUGUCCAUUGUCUUGAUGGUACCUGUAAGCAUGAUCCUCGAUGACCUCACUAGCCUUAGGGACUUCCUGUACAUACAGAGGAGACCUGUCCUCCCCUGUAGUGAAAGCCAGGCUGAGAUGCAAAGCCGCUUUCUACGUGGCUGUCUUUAGACUUUUGUUAGGGAAGAUAAACAGGAAAGAGGCAACAAGCAGAGGAAUUGGGAAGCAUCUAGCAAAGUUAAACUCUAUGAAAAGUACCUGGAAAAAUGGACAUUUUAUGUCACAAUGUUAAAAUUUUUAAAAAUCUAGAAGGCACACCAUCUCUGGGGUCUACCAUGGCUCAGACACCUGUAUUUCCUUGGCCACAGUAUGUUAAAUACAACCCAGCUUAGACACACGGUGUGGCAGCUGUUUUUGGUUCUGUGUGUGUGCUGUGAAGACUGUAGCAUACAGAAGCAGCUGAGCCUCUGCCUUCCUCAGCUCUUGUCUGUCUAAUGCAAUGAACACCAGCUCCUCUCUUCCUCUUGAGUUCCCAUGGCAGCCAUGCUCUGUUUCAGAGAGAGGAGGAUUGCCUGUUCCCUCUUAAAUGGAACCUCCCCUUUGCUUUCUGGGACCAUUACCUUACAUCUCCCAUCAAAACAGCUGGGAAUUCCUGGGGUCCAAUCCCUCUUGGUUUAAUUUUUGUCAUCUCUAUCCUGCCUGGUUCAUCAGGGAGGUGCAGAAGGCUGAGGAAAAGGAAGUCCCUCAGGACUCACUGGAGGAAUGCACCAUCCCUUGUUGAAACAUCGACGGCCCUUCUGACUCCAACCAGGCUCACAGGAGCGCCAAAUUCAAAUUUGAGGAAGACAAAGUCGACUCUGCUCUGAUUGUAGACAGUGAAAUCUCUCAGGAAGAAUGGGAGGAUGCUCUAAACAUUCUUCCAGGCUGAGCCAGGAGCUACUGGAGGCAAAGGAGCAGGAAGCCCCAGAAGACUCCCUGGAUGAAAUUUAUUGGACUCUUUCAGUUCAGGGUGACCUGUCUGAUUACCACCAGCCUUAUAGCAGUGCCUCGUCCUCACUGGAGAAUCAGCUUAUGUGCCCUGCUGUGGAUGUAGCCUGGAUCCCCAGCUCAGGGGCCAUGGACAGUUGUGGGUCCAUGACCUGUUAGGAACUGGGCCACACAGCAGGAGGUCAGCGGUGAGAGAGCAUGACCGCCUGAAUUUCGCCUCCUGCCAGAUCAGCAGUGGCAUUCAAUUCUCACAGGACUCGAACCCUAUUGUGAAUUGCACAUGUGAGCGAUCUAGGUUCUGCACUCCUCAUGAGAAUCUAAUGUCUGAUGAUCCACCACUGUUUCCCAGUGACUGUCACCCCCACGUGGGACCAUCUAGUUUCAGAAAAACAAGCUUAGGGCUUCCACUGAUUCUACCUUUUGGUGAGUUGCAUAAUUAUUUCAUUAGAUAUUACAAUGUAAUAAUCAUAGGAAAAAAGCACACAAAAAAUGUAAUGUGCAUGAAUCAUCCUGAAACAAUACCCCGUACCCUGGAGCCAGAAAAAUUGUCUUCCAUGAAACCGGAUGCUGGUGCCCAAAAGGUUGGGGACUGCGGCUGUACCUGCUGGGAGGUGACCUCCCUCCACUGACGCAGUCCAGUGUCUUUUCCUUUACUCAGGCCCAGGCUUGCAUUCUCUGCAGAGCUCCAGUGGCUUUUUCCAUGUGUGGGCUUGUUUGAAUCAUGAUUUGGUCUCAGUGUUAUAUUCUCAUGAAAACCAUUGAGAAUGAGUGUCCCUCACGGGGUACUGGCCUAACUGAUGAGCAAAGCGGAGUGGUUUCUAUCCUCAUGAUGUCCAGAAAACCCUUCCUCUGAGCAAGUGCCCUUUGGUGUAGCAGCUUCACAGGAUAUGUAGAGAAAAAUUCCGAUUUUCAUUUCUUCUUGCUCAUUGCAUUUUUUUUAACUUCCAUUCUGGGAGUUUCAUGUGCGUUGUUGGGAGUUUCAACCAUCAACCUAUUUUCUAGUAAGAGCAGAUAACUCUGUGAUAUACUCAAGUAUAUCUGAUAAUGUUGUAAUAAAAUUAGCAACAGUGCCAGGUGCGGUGGCUCAUGCCUGUACUUCCAGCACUUUGGGAGGCUGAGGCAGGUAGGUUGCUUGAGCUGAGUAGUUUGAGACCAGUGUAGGCAACUAUACAAAAACAUGUCUCUAUGAAAAAUUAGCAAGGCAUGGUGACACACACCUGUACUUCCAGCUUUAUGGGAGGCUGUGGUGGAAGAAUCACCUGAGCCUGGGAAAUUGAGGCUGCAGUGUGUCAUCAUUGUACCACUGCACUCCAGCCUGAGCAACAAGGUGAGACCUGUGUCACACACACAGACACACACUCACAUGCGUGCACACAUACACACAGAAAGGAACUAGCAAUGAAAAUGUUGGCCUCUCUUCUGUUUCAGUCAGCAAGCACCUUUCCUGUCGGGACCAUCCCCUUUCCUGUUUUGCAUUUCUCCCUGAGUUUGAAAAAGCAAAUACUUUUUUGUGAUCACAGUGAUUGAUGAAACAAAUAAAAUACACUUGGACCUUGCAUCUGCUGUAUGCCCUGCCCCUUGCCAAACAAGCUCUGUCCUGCUAUAAAACAUUCAGAGCUUAAGAAAUGCUCCCAAGGGGGCAGUGGCAUCUCCAUGUUGGAGCUGAGGACGCUGAGGCUCAAAGUUUUCUUCACUUGCCCAGGAUGCCCUGACAAGUCAUGGUGAGAACAUGGUCCCUUUUCUGCCUGACUUCAUGGCCCAGUUUCUGUCAUUUCUCUGUUGGAGGACCUGUUUGAGACUGAGACAUGAUUGGUGCUCACCCUUUUUUCUUUGUAGAAAUUAUUUUUGAAUAAAGUCAAGAUGAAAAAGAAUAAGCUGCUGGUCUAGGAUAAAGAAGUCCUGUAGUCCCUGGCACAGAUUUCUCAAGAAGGAUUACCUGUGUGCACUCUGUCAGCAGAAUCAGUGGCUCCUCCAGUCCCUCCAGGGGGACCUACAGCUCCAGCAGGCUCUCCCUUGGAAAAGCACUCAGGGAAUAAAUGAUCCUAGUCUCUCCCCACCUCCCCAUUUCCAGGGUUUUAACUCUCAACUUGGCCAUGUUUAGGUCCCUGUAAAGCUGUGGAGCUGCAUCUCAUAAACACCCCAGCCAGGAUGGGUCUUCUACAAGAAAAAAGGGAAAUGCUCUGAUACGUGUCUCAGAAGUGAGAUGCUUGUGACAUCGCUGGCCCUGCCGUCAGGAACAUGGGCCAGGAGAGGGCACAUUCAUCCAUGCAGAUGGGCUAAGAUGAAUGAACAUGCCCUUCAGAUUACACAAGGAUGCUUCCUGUGUGUGGCUUCUUGACAAUAAUGUGUGAAUAGUGUGCACGGUGCAUAGCCCUGACCCCAGCAGAGGUGUCAGCGUGGAUCCGCUCUGCACCUGUUCUCCCUGCAGUGAAAGGGUUGGUGGACUUAGGGAGAAUACAACCUAAAUUAUCUCUUGACCUUUCCUUGUGACUUGGUUAAGGAGGAGUCUAGGAGCUCUGUCCCUUGUAAAGACACCUUAUUUGUAAUUAAUUUGAAAAGUGGUUUGAAAAACUCUAACCAUCUGUAUUCUAACCAUGUUCCUCUGACCAUUUUAUCAUCAAUUAAUCACCGCUGUCUGUGUUAGUUAUUAUGUUUAUAUUUGUACAUUGGAAAUAUUCUCUCUCAAAAUUUUACUAUGUACUUGUUUUUACUGGCAUUCUUCACAAAAAAGAAUAUGCCCCACCCAAAUUUUAACUUUCAUCCAAAAUUAAUUUUAAUUUGUUAUGCUGGCAUUCUGUUGUGGAAAAGAAUAUUCUCUGCCCCAGUUUUAACUUUCACCCAAAAUUAACUUUAGUCUAUUAGUUAUAAUGUUUAAACUUUAAAUUUGUUUAAUUAAAAAAUUUUUUGCCCAUCAUUCUUGACUAGAUAAUUUUUUACAAAUAAUGUUCUAAGUUUUUAUUUUUAUGAUUGGUUUGCCAGAUAAUUCUAUAGAUUAAUAAAAAACAUUCUUAUUUUUCUGUUUAUAUUCUAAACUCUUCCAUAUUUUAGUCUAUAUUUAUUAUAUGAGGUAGAUUGUGUUUUCUGCAUUUCUUUGUUGGUGUUACUUGUUUUCUUUGUGUGUGUGUAUGUGUGUGUACGUGUGUGUACGUACAUGUGUGUGUACCUGUGUGUACACGUGUGUACAAAUGUGUACGUCUGUGUACGUCUGUGUACGUACAUGUGUGUACGUGCACACAUGUGCCUUUUGUUGUUAUUUAAGAAGAGUUGUAUAGCUCUUGUUUAACAUUGCACUAAGGUGUUGACAUCACUAAUCCCCUUUUAACUUGAGACACUUCCACUAUUUGGUUUAUACAUUUUAAGUUACAUCUUUCAGCUUCAGAUUUUCACCACUAUAACAAUCAAAGCAUUAUUUUCCUCUUCUCUAUCCUCUUUACCUGCCAUUUCUUAUUUGUCAUUUCAGCCCAAACAUAAAGUGACAGCCUGUGUGUCCCACCUGUUCCCACCUUGGUUUUUGGUAUAGAUCUACAAUUAAAUAUGUUGACGCACAUGUGCUAUUCAAACGUGUGUCCUAAGUGUCCCUUGUUGAGUGGAAUUUAUCUGUAACAGAGUCCUCCUGAGGGAAUCAGGUCUCGCUGACUUUUGCUUAGGGAACUUUUCCCAGACUUCACGCAUGGGUCACAUCACCGGAUAUACAGUACUUGCUAAAAAGGAUUUUUCUUAUGAUUUGAGGAUGUCCUGUUUGGCAUUGGGAGACAGCAUGUUUGCUCUCUCUGGGAUUCUACUUUGUUCUACCAGGACGUUUAAUUUCUGCCAGUUACUUCAUUCAUUCUCGUCACUACAAGUCUCCAGAGGAUGCUUCCUUUGUCUAAGCCUCCCGGUCUCCCAGCAAUGCUACCCUUGGAAGAUAGGUCCCUCUGGUCCUCCGUACUGUGAAGCCCCUGCCCAUCCAUUCCCCAGUAGCUGGGUUCUGAUCCACCAGGUCUCAGGCAUGUUCUGUGUUUCUCCACACUGGCUGUCUGAGGAUGGUUUUUCUGGGUGUUAUGUUGUGAACAGGCCCUCCCUGCUGUGCUGGUUUCUAUUUGCAUAGUGUUUCCUGCUCCCUCUGCUGUUGUGUGGCUCCCAGAUCCAGCUAAAUAAAAUCACCUGAGGGCCACAGUGUUCCCUAGCCCUGGUUGGGGGCAGGAUUAUGGGUGGCAUUUUUGACUGUGUUAAUCCCUAGGGCUUUGAAGUGUAUGUGGAGAAAUUCAGCUUUUAUCUCUCAUACUUCUUCAAAUGCAGAACUUCAGUAGUGUAAAAAAGGAGACAGAAUCAUACAGUAGAACAUCCCCAUGUUCACUGGCCAGCUUCAGCAAUAGUCAUUGAAUAGCUGAACUUUUAAAAAUACAAUCCUUCCUGCUUACUUAUGAAAUGUGUGUGUGCGUAUAUAUGUACACAGUAUGUGUGUGUGUGUGUGUGUGUAUAUAUGUUUGGACAUAUGAUUAUGGAGGCUGCAAUUCCCAAGAUGGAAAGCUGGACACUCAGGAAAGCAUUUUCUUCUCAUUGACCUUUUCCUUCUCCUCUGGCCUUUGGCUGAUUGGAUGAGGCCCGCCCACCACAGAGAGGGCAUCUGCUUCACUUAGUUUGUCUAGUUUAGUGUUAAUGUCAUCCAGAAACUGCCUCCAGCACACACCCAGAAAAAUGCUGGAACAAAUGUCCUGGCACACCGGGGCUCACUAAAUGUUAUACACACAAUUACCCAGUAUACAGGACCUUUGACCUAUGUGGGGUUUUCAUAUUCUUCUCCCAAUUUGUAGCUUUUUAGUCUAUUAACAGUGUCUUAUGCUGACCAGGAAUUUUUAAUUUGUAUCAAGUUGAACUUAGGAAUGUUUCCUUUAGUACUUUGUGUUGAUAUGAUAACCAAGUCUAUUUUGUGUCUAACUCUACACCGUGGAAGUUUCUCUUACAUUUGCUACUGUAAUUUUUCUGGAUUUGCAGUUCACGUUUAGUUCUAUAAUCAAUUUUGAGUUACUUUUGGUGCAAGUACAAAUGUUUCAGUGGAUUUUUUCUUUCUUUGUUUAUUAUUUUUUUACUUCACCUUUGACUUAAGCUCAGGAGUACAUGUGCAGGACGUGCAGAUUUGCAACACAGGUGGAUGUGUGCCACGGUUGUUUGCUGCACAGAGAAUCCGUAUCAUUGCAUUGCCUAGGGAUUAAGCCCAGCAUCCAUUAGCUUCUCUUCCUGAGGCUCUCCCUUCCCCAACUCCCCACCCCCUGACAGGGCCAAGUGUGCGUUUUCCCCAUCCCCACCCUAUCUGUCCAUGUGUUCUCAUCAUCCGGCUCCCACUUAUAAGUGAGACUAUGCAGUGUUUUGUUUUCUGUUCCUGUGUUAGUUUGCUGAGGAUAAUGUCUUUUGACUCCAACCAUGUUACUUCAAAUGACAUGAUCUCAUUUCUUUAUAUGGUACCUAUUCUCUAUCUAGUCUAUUAUCAUGUUUUCUUGGUGUCUCCAUCAAAGAUCAAUGGAUCAUAGAUGGUGGUUUAUUUCUCGGCUGGGUCAGCUUCCAAAGGCUUACUCAUCUCCUCACACAGGCAUCUUUCCAGGCCUCAGAAUCUCUGAUGGUUUCCCAGGUGUUGUGUCUGUUAUCUUGAGUGCUGGAUGCCUUUGUGUUCCUGUGUAUCUUUAGCUUUCUUCAGGGAUGCAGUUAAAUCACUUGGAAACAGUCUAAUCAUUUUCAGUCUGGUUUUUAUGAUUUGUGAGGUGGUCCAGAGCAGGGCUCAUGGCAUGCUACUGAGCAAAAAGCUUUUUGAAACUCCUAUCCUUUGUCCUGUGGAUGAUGAGUUAAUUUUAGUUUUAAUUAUUAUUCAGGCACCAUUCCAAGCCUUGUGUAUGGGCCAGGCACCAGACUCUCCAAUCUUUUCAAAUGAUUUUCUUUUGACUUUGGAAUAUUUUCAUCAAAUGUGGGCUCUGAUCCGUACUUUCUUAAUCAGCCCUGUGCUGAUGCAGUAGGGACACCCUCUGUGGUUCACUGUAAUUUACUUUCUGCAGCUCUCUCCUGGCUGGGUCCUAUUUACAGGUUUUAUGCUACUUUGGGUUAACACUACCCUGGACACUCUGCUUAGUGUCCUUAACUCAAAGGUGUGCACUAAGGUCCUUUUGACUUUCUCCUCCCUGUCCUUAGCUUGGAAGCUCUCUCAUGGCAGUCAGUGGAAGCAACUGAGGGGCUCCGCUGUCUGGGUUACAUCUCUCAAGGAUGGCUAUCCUUUUUUGCUAAAUGUUCAGUAUCUUGGAACCCAUCUUUUUGUGUAGUUUAUGUUCACAGAGACUGUUCUCUCUCUCUGCAAGGAGUGGAAAAACAUACCGUUGUCUUUCACAUAAAUUCUUUAAUAGCUUUUAGAAAACAAAAAAGUGGUUUUUGAUUACAUGAAUGAAUUGUGUAGGGGUGAAGACUGAGAUUUCAGUGCUCCAUCACCCUAGUAGUGUACAGUGUACCCCAUGUGCAGUAAAAAUCCACCUUUAAGUGUGAGGUGUGUUCCUCAUGGAUUGGGCUUAAAGGCAAUGACACCAGCAUUCCAGGAAUCAGUAACUGUAAAACCCAACCUUAGGAAGAAAGCUUAAUAUUAUUCAUGUGAGAACUAGGCUCUGGAUCUUCAGAACUUGUUUCAUUCUUGAAAAGAAGUAUAUAUCAGAUGUGGUAAUAUCCUGCUUGAACCACAAAUGUUCAUGUUUCUAAACAUAUUAAGUAUUAAAUGUCCAUACUUAAUAUAUAAUUAUUAAGGAACAUAUUAAGGAUAUAUUUUAGAAAUCAGACAAAACUUUCAAAAGUAUUAAAGAGAAGAAAGAUCAACACAAAAGGGCCUAAGUGGGAAACCCAGAUAUGCGUAACAGAUUUUCCAGGAGAAAAGAAAUAAAAAGCUGCUUUAAUAGUCACAGAAUUCCAGCUUGUCUGCAGGAAGGAGUUGGUUGGGAGCAGUGUCCAGCAGUUUUGUGAGAAGAGGAUGGAAGGGAAGGGCUGUGCACCCUCUGGGGGAAGGACAGAGCCUGCCAUGUCCUUGAUGAUUUUGGCCUUUGGUGAUACGGGGCAAACACCUGGAAGACCAGGCUUUGUUAAGAGACCUAGACAAAUGGGUUGUAAAACAUUACUUGUAUCCUCACGCCUCUAAUCCCAGCACUUUGGGAGGCCGAGGCGGGUGGAUCACGAGGUCUGUAGAUCAUGGAGACCAUUCUGGUCAACAUGGUGAAACCCCACAAUAAUUAGCUAGACAUGGUGGCAUGAGCCUGUAGUCCCAGCUACUAGGGAGGCUGAGGCAGCGGAAUUGCUUGAACCCAGGAGGCGGAGGUCGCGGUGAGCCAAGAUUGCGCCAUUGCUCUCCAGCCUGGGUAAAAAGAGCGAAACCCCAUCUCAAAACAAAACAAAACAAAACUCAUUUCAGCUGGAUGAAAUAAAGGCAUCACUUCUAUUUUGAGUGUUUUCUUCUGCAUGUGGGCAAAGGAGAGUCUUGCAACUUAGUUGCUAAUAGAUUCUCUGAUUAUUAUGCAGAAGCCAAAUGGCAUCUACAAAACAGCUCAUGGGGUUCAAGCAGGAUUUUACCACAUCUGAUUUAACUAGAGGGAUUGACAAUAAGGUUAGGAGAGAGGCUAGCUAAGAGGAAACCUAUCAGAAGCUUAUCUUAAAUGAACUGAGAUCAUGUAAAACUCAGAGUGCCUAACUGGGCUUGACCACCGACCUUUUAGUUAGCAGACAGAAGAACUCAAGGUCACGCAGCAGAAACACACAUUCUCUCCAGCCUUCACAUUGCAGCACCCUGGGCUCCUCUGCCUCGUGCAACUGCACCAGCUCCAGGAAACAUUCAGCCCGUCUGCAGCUACCAUUAGGCUUCUGCAAAACAAUCAGAGAAUCCAUUAGCAACAAAGUUGCAAGACUCUCCUUUGCCCACACACAGAGGAAACCCUGCCUCAAAACCAAAACUAAACUAAAAUCAACUCAGUUUAAAUUGUGUUACACCGAGUUCUCUUUACAGCUGAUGUGGUGACAGAUGCUUUCUCUAGCCUCUAUUUAUUUAAUACAGUAAAAUGAUUACUCGCUUUUCUAAACAGCUAAAGCUCUUUGUACCAAAACUUUUCAAAAACUGUUUUUUUGAGAGAAAGCAUUAAUUUUGUUUUAAAAUUUCAUAUGUGUUACCUCUUAAAGUGAGGCUACUGAGUAAGCUUUUUUGAUUAUGCAGACAUAUUACGAACAUUCACCGUUGUACUAUAAACAGCACAAUUCUGCAUUUGAUUUUUAGUUUUCCAGUCUGUUUAGAUUGUCCUUGUGCCAGGUCAUCACCCACCUUUCUAAUUUUCUGAGAAGACAAAUAACCAAGUUUGUUAAGAAGUAUUUGCUAACAGUGGUAAAUAGGAGCUGAUUGAGAGUCUAAAUACCUUUCCUUUGGGUCAAGUGCACGGUUUUAAUGCUGAGGCUAUGUGGAACCUAUUUUAGGUACUCUGGGCCAUGAAGCUCUGUUAAGAUGAAGUUGCAAGGAUGCUCCACCUUCAGAUAAGUGGAGAAUUACUAUACCUAGUUGAGAGGUACCAUGGGGCAGUGAAGGGAGGAGAAAGAGGGACGUGAGCUUUAGCAGAAUACUUGAUAAAACUCAUAUCAUUCUGCCAUUAUAUUGCAUUUACCCCUUAACAUCAACUUCUAUUAUUGAUUGGUUUAUCUGUGCUAAUGCUAUGUAUACAUCUCAUUUAACAAAUGUAAUAGCUGCAUUUGACACAUGGACCAUUGAGAUUCUGAGAGGUUAAAUAAUCUGCCUGUGAUCACAUAGCUAGUAAGUGGUGGAGCUAGGAUUUCACCCCAGCUCCGUUUAAUGCUAAAGCCCAUGCUCUAACCAUAUUGUUAUAUUGAUAAUUUAGUUCAGAAAGGAUGGAUAUCAGCUUCAUUCUGCAUCUAGAGCAAUGGGACUGACUUUCUUUUCUUCUUUCUUUUUUUUUUUUUUUUGGAGACAGAGUCUUGCACUGUUGCCCAGGCUGUAGUGCAGUGGCAUGAUCUCGGCUCACUGCAGUCUCUGCCUCCUGGGAUCAAGCAAUUCUGCCUCAGCCUCCUGAGUAGCCGGGACUACAGGUGUGUGUCACCACGCCCAGCUAAUUUUUUUGUAUUUUUAGUAGAUACGGGGUUUCAGCAUGUUAGCCAGGAUGAUCUUGAUCUCCUGAUCUCAUGAUCCGCCUAACUGGGCCUCCCAAAGAGCUAGGAUUACAGGCGUGAGCCACUGCGCCCGGCCAGGAGUUACUUUUCUAACACUGUACAUAUGCAUAUUUCCAAAAUUCUGCUAAAACAACACAGUUUAGUUUGUAAAUAUAUAGAUUUUAUAAUAUUGAAUGUUUACCAGGAUUAGUACAAAAUGUUUUAAAGAAAAGCUCUUUGACAUAAAACCAUUCCAAGAAUGUAGUGCAUCAUUUAAUUAAAUUAUAUUCAGUAGCAUAAAUUGCAUGGUUCAAUGCUAGUCAUAGUAGGUGCUCUUGGUAGCUCUAACUGUUCAUUUUGUACAGCUUGUUGUAGAUUAGAGUCUAAUGCUAGAAACACUAAAAUCACAUCAUUUGGGGAGACUUGUGAAAUUUAAGUUUGGUCAACUUCGAGUCCAUUUCUACAGUGGUAACAUUGAGAAAUCUGUCCUGCAUACUUGUAACAUUUUUGUAAUCAUCAGAGAAGAAAAUGUGUAAAAAUACUGAAGGAGGCCAAGGCAGGAGGAUCACUUGAAGCCAGGAGUUCAAGACCAGCCUGGGCAACAUAGUGAGACCAUGUUUCCAUUAAAAAAAUAAAUGAAUAAAACAAACACUUUGAAGAUAAUUUAAAGUGCUGUGUAGUAAGGUAGUAUUUUAUUACUUGGUUAAGAGACAGCUUUCUUCCAACAGUUACCUGACUACUACAAAUAAUAUGUGAGUGAUUUCUCACAAGUAAGUUUGUCCCUCAUAUUUAUACCCAAGUUACUCUAAAAGGGUAGUACUAUGUAGGUAGAUAUAUCACAAAACGUUUUCCAGAAAGGUGAGUAGCAAUAAAUUACUUGGUCUUUUGGAAAUAUGUAAUAAUUUUUGUAUCUAAUAUAUGGAUAUUUAUACAUUCUCUUCAGCAAAUAUGCAUUAUCCAAGUUAGCAUGGGAGUUCCUACCAUAUUGGGGUUCCUACCAUUGAAUCUCCUGAUUUUCCUUUGGAUCUUGGCUCCCUGUGCUAAUCUUUCUCACUCAUGUCUCCAGUGAUUUUAACAGAUGUAGAGAAUGUACAGGGUUUCUAAAAAUUCAACAAAAUUAUGCCUUGAACUACAGGGGUUGUAUUCUAGCUACUUUGACCAGGAAAAAAAUUUACUAGGGCCAUUAACUAAUGGAAACAGCACAGACUGAGUGAGCCCUAGGAUUGAAUUCAGCUCUUAGAUUUAUUAAUCUGACCUUGAGCCAGUCCGUUCAUCUGUCAAACCUCACUCUUUUUUUUUUUUUUUUUUUGAGACGGAGUUUCGCUCUUGUUACCCAGGCUGGAGUGCAAUGGCGCGAUCUCGGCUCACCGCAACCUCCGCCUCCUGGGUUCAGGCAAUUCUCCUGCCUCAGCCUCCUGAGUAGCUGGGAUUACAGGCACGCGCCACCGUGCCCAGUUAAUUUUUUUGUAUUUUUAGUAGAGACGGGGUUUCACCAUGUUGACCAGGAUGGUCUCGAUCUUUUGACCUCGUGAUCCACCCGCCUCGGCCUCCCAAAGUGCUGGGAUUACAGGCUUGAGCCACCGCACCCCGCCAAUAUAGUUAAUUCUUUUAAGCACCUGGAAUUACGCCCUAUCUACGAAAGCUGAGUAGAUCAAAGUGAGCGAUAACUGAAUUUGAAGUCCAGGUACAGCAGAAGUUUGGGGCUCCUCUGUUACCCAUGCUUAUCCACACCUUGAUUUUUUCUUUUCCUAAAGCAUCUGGGCCUUUAGUUCAAAUACUGGCAGAUCUACAGCUUACUAGGUAGAAUUUUUGUUAUGGCAUACAUCAACAUAUUUCAAGUUUCUCUGCUUGGAUGGAAUAGAUGCAUUAAAUUCUAUUAAAUGAGUAAAUUGUGAAAAAUAGAAGGACUUUCAACAGGCAUUAUUUUUCAGGAUCUUAGAAAUAGUUAUGCCUGAUAGUUUUAUAAUGUCUGUCGUAUACCUUUUGCAGUCCACAGAAUGCACUCACAUACCUUAUCAGCUGAUCCUUCGCAGAGAAGCCCCAUGUGAUUCUUUUCUAUUCUCAGCUUUGUCCUUGAACUAAAAUUAGAACUAGGCUGACAUUACAUUUCAGUUGGUUACAGCUGACGGGAUUUUAAUCAUUUGGAGCCACAUUGAAGAAAAUAAAAAACCCUGCAAUCUACUUUUAACUGAUAGUCAUUAACUUUGGUUGUGUGAACUUUAGUGUCCACCAAUAUUGAUGCCUAAUGGUAGCUGCGCCUAGCCGAGAUGGCACCAUUGCACUCCAGCCUGGGUAACAAGAGCGAAACCGUCUCAAAAAAAAAAGAAGGCUAGUGCGAAUCUGGGAAGAACGAGUAAGCUUAACUAAGCUAAGAGAAAAGGUCAUCAGGGAAGAUGGAAGAGUCAUUUUGAAGAUAGAAAAAGAGGAAUGGAAGACCCUUCCUUCUUCUCUGCUGAAACUAAACCAACUGCAGGAAUGGCAACUUCAUAGAACUGGUUUGCUGAAAAUUCCUGAAUUCAUUGGAAGAUUCCAGAACCUCAUUGUGUUAGACUUAUCUUGAAACACAAUUUCAGAGAUACCUCCAGGGAUUGGAAUGCUUACUAGACUUCAGGAACUGAUUCUCAGCUACAGCAAAAUCAAGACUGUCCCCAAGGAGCUAAGUAAUUGUGCCAGCUUGGAGAAACUAGAACUGGCUGUUAACAGAGAUAUAUGUGAUCUUCCACAAGAGAAUGCAAAAUCUACAUACGUUAUGGCUGCAACGAAAUGAUAUAACAUGCUUGCCUGAAACAAUCAGCAAUAUGAAAAAUCUGGGUACUCUUGUUCUCAGCAACAAUAAACUGCAAGAUAUUCCAGUAUGCAUGGAAGAAAUGGCAAGUCUGAGGUUUGUCAACUUCAGAGACAACCCACUGAAAUUGGAAGUAUCACUUCCUCCCAAUGAAGGCACAGAUGAAGAGGAGGAACGGGAAUUAUUUGGUCUUCAGUUUAUGCACACAUACAUACAGGAGUCACGGAGAAGAGCAGGAAUUUCUCUCGUUGCCCAAGCUGGAGUGCAAUGGUGCGAUCUUCGCUCACUUAGCAACCUCUGCCUCCUGGGUUCAAGCGAUUCUCCUGCCUCAGCCUCCUGAGUAGCUAGGAUUACAGAUCACCAAGUCAUCUGUUCAACUACUUUACCAAUAUCCAUGAAUACGGAUGGGUAAUAUAAUUCAAGAUGCCCUUCUAAAGAGGAUUACUUUGGUGAAUUCUCUAAUGUUUGGACUUCUGAAGUAAAAAGAAAAGCUAUUACCAAAGUUUAAUGAGGCCACAGCAUUUUUUAAAGUUCAUAUUAUCUGCUAUUUAAAGUAUAUAUUUUUGAAUAUAAAAAUAUAAUUUAAAACUUUUUUUGGUGGAAGACGAAUGAUGCUCAAAUUUCUUUUCCAUUAGGCAGUUGUUUCUGGUGAUGAAGAAUGAUCUGGUAAAGCAGUUAACAAAACAUUUUCCAAAGACACCAGAGGGUCUGUAUAGUACUGCAAAGCAGGACUGAAUCCCUUCUGCUGCAAAUACUGGAUUCGACCUUGGUCAAUCAGCAAUUUACAAAGAUGCCCUGUUUUCUUCUUUUCUUCAAUACUAAGAAGCCUAAAUUGAAUAAACACACACAAAACAUUGUUA
Non-coding RNA from Callithrix jacchus (white-tufted-ear marmoset), 22587 nucleotides. The record is from RefSeq and is a predicted model, not a curated record. Lineage: Eukaryota; Metazoa; Chordata; Mammalia; Primates; Cebidae.